CGUACACAAAAGCGCAUGUGCUGUGAGCUCGAUGAGUAGGGCGGGACACGUGGUAUCCUGUCUGAAUAUGGGGGGACCAUCCUCCAAGGCUAAAUACUCCUGACUGACCGAUAGUGAACCAGUACCGUGAGGGAAAGGCGAAAAGAACCCCGGCGAGGGGAGUGAAAAAGAACCUGAAACCGUGUACGUACAAGCAGUGGGAGCCCCACCACUAAGCCAGUGGUGAACUCCACAUACGCAUCCUUUGCUGAAGGUGCGGUUAACGGAGCGCAAGCGACGUUCAACCUCAAAAGAAGCAGAGGGGGCUUAGUGGUGGGGUGACUGCGUACCU
RNAcentral lists this ribosomal RNA (331 nucleotides) under Salmonella enterica subsp. enterica serovar Kentucky. RNAcentral's name for it is "bacterial LSU rRNA". It matches the Rfam family "Bacterial large subunit ribosomal RNA", at positions 374 to 606 of the family's 2925-position model. Lineage: Bacteria; Pseudomonadati; Pseudomonadota; Gammaproteobacteria; Enterobacterales; Enterobacteriaceae. The record is from RNAcentral.